GCCCGCAUAGCUCAGUGGUAGAGCAUUGUACUUAUGAGGAUAACUUGGCCAUCAUGCAAGGGUCUCCAGUUCGAUCCUGGGUGGGGGCA
Desarmillaria tabescens is the source of this 89-nucleotide non-coding RNA. Lineage: Eukaryota; Fungi; Basidiomycota; Agaricomycetes; Agaricales; Physalacriaceae. The record is from the annotation of a RefSeq genome assembly.